This 251-nucleotide ribosomal RNA is filed under the name uncultured bacterium. RNAcentral's name for it is "partial 16S ribosomal RNA". It matches the Rfam family "Bacterial small subunit ribosomal RNA", at positions 79 to 339 of the family's 1533-position model. The record is from RNAcentral.
UUCGGGAAUGAGUAAAGUGGCGAACGGGUGAGGAAUGCGCAAAAAUCUACCUCUGGGUGGAGGAUACCCCUGGGAAACUAGGGUUAAUCCUGCAUAAGUUCGCAAGAAGAAAGGUGGCAUUUGCUAUCGCCGAGAGAUGAGUUUGCGUCCUAUUAGCUAGUUGGUAGGGUAAAGGCCUACCAAGGCAAUGAUGGGUAUCCGGCCUGAGAGGGUGAUCGGACACACUGGGACUGAGAUACGGCCCAGACUCC